AUUCAUUUAGUAUGUUCAGUGUUGUUUUAAGGAAUAGAGAAUAUGAACCAUUAUCGCUAUUUAGUGUAUUUUCCCCUAGCUAUAAACUGAUUAUAAAUGGUCUGUCAAGCUUUUGGAUAUGUCUCGGUCUUAUCUCAAUUGGAAAACAAUGGAUAUUUCAUUAUUGUUUGUAAAAUUAACGUCACAACCGGGCAAUCAACCAUAUUAUGAAUCCC
RNAcentral lists this long non-coding RNA (215 nucleotides) under Mytilus galloprovincialis (Mediterranean mussel). Lineage: Eukaryota; Metazoa; Mollusca; Bivalvia; Mytilida; Mytilidae. The record is from RNAcentral.